This 526-nucleotide ribosomal RNA is filed under the name uncultured bacterium. RNAcentral's name for it is "partial 16S ribosomal RNA". It matches the Rfam family "Bacterial small subunit ribosomal RNA", at positions 355 to 874 of the family's 1533-position model. The record is from RNAcentral.
UGGGGAAUUUUGGACAAUGGGCGAAAGCCUGAUCCAACAAUGCCGCGUGUGUGAAGAAGGCCUUCGGGUUGUAAAGCACUUUUGUCCGGAAAGAAAUCCUCUGGGUUAAUACCUCGGGGGGAUGACGGUACCGGAAGAAUAAGCACCGGCUAACUACGUGCCAGCAGCCGCGGUAAUACGUAGGGUGCAGGCGUUAAUCGGAAUUACUGGGCGUAAAGCGUGCGCAGGCGGUUUUGUAAGACGGAUGUGAAAUCCCCGGGCUUAACCUGGGAACUGCAUUCGUGACUGCAAGGCUAGAGUAUGGCAGAGGGGGGUAGAAUUCCACGUGUAGCAGUGAAAUGCGUAGAGAUGUGGAGGAAUACCGAUGGCGAAGGCAGCCCCCUGGGCCAAUACUGACGCUCAUGCACGAAAGCGUGGGGAGCAAACAGGAUUAGAUACCCUGGUAGUCCACGCCCUAAACGAUGUCAACUAGUUGUUGGGGAUUCAUUUCCUUAGUAACGUAGCUAACGCGUGAAGUUGACCGCCU